This is a long non-coding RNA of Papaver somniferum (opium poppy), 1777 nucleotides long. RefSeq lists it as uncharacterized. NCBI's taxonomy places the organism in Eukaryota, Viridiplantae, Streptophyta, Magnoliopsida, Ranunculales, Papaveraceae. The transcript is spliced from 3 exons. The record is from RefSeq and is a predicted model, not a curated record.
UCUCAUUUCUUCUUCUUCCUCCUGUUUCUUCUUUUCUCUUAUUCUUCUCCUUCUGCGAGUGAUUUGAGAGUUGUUUGUGAAAGUCAUUUGAGAGAAUCAUUUGAUGAUUAUGAGUAGAUGAUGAAGGGGAUGUUGUAGCUGUGAUUUAUGAUGGAGAACAGUUAGGGUUUGAAUCUGGGUAGAUCAAAUUUAGGAUUAGAGAUUCGAUUAUUGAUUUGAAGAUUUAGAAGAUAAGAUACAGAGAUAUGGCUUGAUGAAGAAUCACGGUUGGUGUUCAAUUAAAGAGUUGAAGUGGAUUCAGCGAUGAAUAAAAGAAUUAGGGUUUCUCAAGAUGAACCGGAAGUUAGAUUUAGUGAUGUUUAAGAAGGAUUGAAGUUGGGUUUUCAUUGAUUGAGGAACGGGGUGGAGUUAAUUAGAUGUUGGAGCUUUAAUUUCAAUUUAAUUGUGAAUUUGAGAAUUAGGGUUCUUGAGUCUCGAUCUCAGAGAAGCUACGGAAGAUGAAAUUGAAGAUGAAAUUGAGAGUUUAAAGAGAAGAUUUGAGAUGGGUUUUGAUCAGGUAUGAAGUAGAAUUGUUAGCAUGAGUUUAAAUUUGAUUUCAAAACAAAUUAAGGUUUAUGUUCUUCCCAUAAUUAGCAAAUUAGGGUUUUGUUAUUCAUAUUUGAUAUAUGUUGAAUUGGUUAGAAUUUGAGUUGUUAAUAGUUAAAGAAUGAUGGGGUUGCUAUCAGUUGAAGUUGUCGAUUUGAUUUGAAGAAGAUAAAUUCAAUGGUAAGGUUCUAACAAGAAGCAGAGUUCUGAGGUUUGGCUAAGUUAUUGGUGUUGGAGUUAAAUUAGUGGGGAAUUUAUUAUGAACUGCAGGUGGAUAUAGUUGGUUGUUUGAAGUGGUUGAGCUAUGGAAGCUGUCUGGUAUUGCUACUACUGUUGGAGUUACUGUAAUUGCAGAUGCAUGUGAAAUGGUUAGUUGUCAUUGUAGUUUAGGUCAUGUUGAGAUACAAAGGAAAUGAAGUUACAAAUAUAAUGGAGAUAAUGACUUGGGUAGCUAUGAGAUGAAUGUUGGGUUGAACACAAGUGGCAAUCAUGAAGAGAUUGUGUUUAGAAACUGUGUUGAAUUGUUGUGGAAGAUGGAGUUGAGGUCUGCUUGGGGGUUUUAUAGCUGUCAGUGUUUAGAGGAUAUAUGAACUCUUACAGACGAGGUGUAAUUGUACUGCAGUGUAUAACUAAUGGGUUAAGUUGAUGUUGCAGGUGGUAUGGUUUACUGAAUGAUAAUGGUUGCUUGAAUUGAUAUGGGUGUUACUGUUUAGAGGAUAAGGAAGAGGUCAUGGUGGUGAGCGAGAUGAACUGAUGUUGAUGUUGUGGGAGAGUUAGCUCUGGCAGUGGUGUUGAAGAGAAUUGAUUGUGUUGAAUUGAACCUCUCUAGUGAAAGAUUAAAGAUGCAACUGCAGUUUUUCUGUAUUAACAACGAUCGAUUUAAAGGAUGAACCAUUGGAUCGUGGAUCUCGAGGUAGGCGUGGCUUGUCAUCAAAAGAGUUUCAGAGACAGAUCAGAGUUGCGCAACGGAAGCUUCGAGGAAUUGAGUUUAUUAGUUUGAUUAACUUCAGCUAUGUUAUUAUAUUGUAUGUUUUAUUUGUAAACCAAAUGACUAUUGUAUAUGUAUCACUUGAGAGAAGUUCUUGUAUAUGUAUAUAUUGCAGAGCGGAGCUAGUUUGGGUUAAGUUUUAUAGCAGGUUUUUUAAUUGAAUGCUUAAGUAUUUGAGUUAGAUUCGCAGUCCCUCUUUAUUUA